GCGUUUGUAACUUAAUUGGAAAAAGUGUUGGAUUUCGGCCCCAAAAAAUAUAGGUUCAAGUCCUAUCAAACGUA
RNAcentral lists this transfer RNA (74 nucleotides) under Asterionella formosa. RNAcentral's name for it is "tRNA-Arg". It matches the Rfam family "tRNA". Rfam says of the family: Transfer RNA (tRNA) molecules are approximately 80 nucleotides in length. Their secondary structure includes four short double-helical elements and three loops (D, anti-codon, and T loops). Lineage: Eukaryota; Bacillariophyta; Fragilariophyceae; Tabellariales; Tabellariaceae. The record is from RNAcentral.